This 497-nucleotide ribosomal RNA is filed under the name uncultured bacterium. RNAcentral's name for it is "partial 16S ribosomal RNA". It matches the Rfam family "Bacterial small subunit ribosomal RNA", at positions 28 to 507 of the family's 1533-position model. The record is from RNAcentral.
GAUGAACGCUGGCGGCGUGCCUAAUACAUGCAAGUCGAGCGAACGGACGAGAAGCUUGCUUCUCUGAUGUUAGUGGCGGACGGGUGAGUAACACGUGGAUAACCUACCUAUAAGGCUGGGAUAACUUCGGGAAACCGUAGCUAAUACCGGAUAAUAUUUUGAACCGCAUGGUUCAAAAGUGAAAGACGGUCUUGCUGUCACUUAUAGAUGGAUCCGCGCUGCAUUAGCUAGUUGGUAAGGUAACGGCUUACCAAGGCAACGAUGCAUAGCCGACCUGAGAGGGUGAUCGGCCACACUGGAACUGAGACACGGUCCAGACUCCUACGGGAGGCAGCAGUAGGGAAUCUUCCGCAAUGGGCGAAAGCCUGACGGAGCAACGCCGCGUGAGUGAUGAAGGUCUUCGGAUCGUAAAACUCUGUUAUUAGGGAAGAACAUAUGUGUAAGUAACUGUGCACAUCUUGACGGUACCUAAUCAGAAAGCCACGGCUAACUACGUG